AGGACGAACGCUGGCGGCGUGCUUAACACAUGCAAGUCGAGCGGAAAGGCCCUUCGGGGUACUCGAGCGGCGAACGGGUGAGUAACACGUGAGUAAUCUGCCCCUAGCUCUGGGAUAGCUCCGGGAAACCGGGAUUAAUACCAGAUACGACCACUUUAGACAUCUUCUGUGGUGGAAAGAACUUCGGCUAGGGAUGAACUCGCGGCCUAUCAGCUUGUUGGUGAGGUAACGGCUCACCAAGGCGACGACGGGUAGCCGGCCUGAGAGGGCGACCGGCCACACUGGGACUGAGACACGGCCCAGACUCCUACGGGAGGCAGCAGUGGGGAAUAUUGCGCAAUGGGCGAAAGCCUGACGCAGCGACGCCGCGUGGGGGAUGAAGGCCUUCGGGUUGUAACCCCUUUCAGCAGGGACGAAGCGAAAGUGACGGUACCUGCAGAGAAGCGCCGGCUAACUACGUGCCAGCAGCCGC
Molecule: ribosomal RNA, 472 nt
Filed under: uncultured bacterium
Lineage: Bacteria
Description: SSU rRNA
Rfam family: Bacterial small subunit ribosomal RNA
Source: RNAcentral